UCCUCGACACCUGAUGGCUUCUACAUCUUCCAAGAAAAAUAUAUUCAGGAUCUUCUUGCUCGUGCUGCUCUUGGUGAUGAGCGCACUGUUGUGACUCCUGUGGAGCUCAACGUUCAGCUUCGUGCCUCUGAUGGUGACCCUCUUCCUAAUCCCACUCGCUAUCGUCACCUCGUUGGCAGCCUUGUCUAUCUUGCUGUUACGCGUCCUGACAUCUCCUAUCCUAUCCACAUCAUGAGUCAGUUUGUUUCAGCCCCCACCUCUGUCCACUAUAGUCACCUCCUCCGCGUUCUACGAUAUCUUCGUGGCAUGAUCUCUCAGCGCCUUUUCUUUCCCUGCUCCAGCUCUCUUGACCUCCAGGCCUACUCUGAUGCUACCUAG
This 378-nucleotide ribosomal RNA is filed under the name Triticum aestivum (bread wheat). Its description in RNAcentral is "partial small subunit ribosomal RNA". The record is from RNAcentral. Lineage: Eukaryota; Viridiplantae; Streptophyta; Magnoliopsida; Poales; Poaceae.